This 464-nucleotide ribosomal RNA is filed under the name uncultured bacterium. Its description in RNAcentral is "partial 16S ribosomal RNA". It matches the Rfam family "Bacterial small subunit ribosomal RNA", at positions 339 to 795 of the family's 1533-position model. The record is from RNAcentral.
CUACGGGGCGCAGCAGUGGGGAAUAUUGCACAAUGAGCGAAAGCUUGAUGCAGCCAUACCGCGUGUGUGAAGAAGGCCCGAGGGUUGUAAAGCACUUUCAAUUGGGAGGAAGGUUAAGUAGUUAAUACCUGCUUAAUUUGACGUUACCUUUAGAAGAAGCACCGGCUAACUCUGUGCCAGCAGCCGCGGUAAUACAGAGGGUGCAAGCGUUAUUCGGAAUUACUGGGCGUAAAGCGCGCGUAGGCGGAUUAUUAAGUCAGUUGUGAAAGCCCUGGGCUCAACCUGGGAACUGCAUCUGAUACUGGUAGUCUAGAGUUUAACAGAGGGAAGUGGAAUUCCAGGUGUAGCAGUGAAAUGCGUAGAUAUCUGGAGGAACAUCAAUGGCGAAGGCGACUUCCUGGCUUAAAACUGACGCUGAGGUGCGAAAGCGUGGGUAGCGAACGGGAUUAGAUACCCCAGUAGUC